This is a long non-coding RNA of Talpa occidentalis (Iberian mole), 883 nucleotides long. RefSeq lists it as uncharacterized. The transcript is spliced from 3 exons. Lineage: Eukaryota; Metazoa; Chordata; Mammalia; Eulipotyphla; Talpidae. The record is from RefSeq and is a predicted model, not a curated record.
UACAAGAGACAUCAGAAAAAUCAUGAGUCACCAUCCCAGCAAAAGAAGGGGAGAUCAUUAGAACAUGUUAAACACACAGAGGAGGCAUCUAUCUGCAGGCAAGAAAGAAAUCCUCCUCAGAACCAGACUAUGCUGAUAUCCUGAUCUUGGACUUCAGUUUCCAGAGCCAUGAGAGCCACAAAUUGGAUGAAGGCCCCAGUGAAAGUACACAUAAAAGAAUUCAUGGAAAGAACCCUGGGAAAUGCUAUGUGCACUCAGACAAAAAAGAGGGGAAAGUAUGUUUCCUCAAAGGAUGUCUGCAAGUGGCAGAUCUCCUGGGAAGGAUAAGAAGAUGCAUUGAAUUCAAUAAAAUACAACACCCUUUCAUGACAAAAACACUCAUCAUACUGACUAGAAGAGAAUUUGUUAAUCUGACAAAAGGAAUCUAUGUGAAACUCACAGUUAACAUCAUAUUUAAUGGUGAAAGAAUGAAUACUUCUUCCAAGAUCAAGAACAAGAUGAAGAUGUCUGCUCUCAUCACUUCUAUUUAAUAUUGUACUAUAGGUUCUGGCAAGAAAGGAAAUUAGACAAGAAAAGACAAAAGCCAUCCAUACUGGAUAGGAAAAAAACAAACCUAAUGCUAUUUUCAAAUUUUUUUUUCUAUUUAUCUAUCUGUAAAAUUUAAAAACCUAAUAGAACUAAUAAAUUAAUCAAGAUUGCAUAUACAAGAUCAACAUACAAAAUUUAACUGUAUUUCUCUAACGUGGCAAAGAGCAUUGCUAAUAUGAAAUUAAGCUAGCAAUUCAUUUUAAAAUAAGGUUAAAAGAGAAAAGUAGUUAGGUGUAAAUUUAACAAAAUAGUAUAAAACCUGAUACUGAAAACUGAAAAAACACUGUCUAUAAAA